This 467-nucleotide ribosomal RNA is filed under the name uncultured bacterium. RNAcentral's name for it is "partial 16S ribosomal RNA". It matches the Rfam family "Bacterial small subunit ribosomal RNA", at positions 28 to 507 of the family's 1533-position model. The record is from RNAcentral.
GACGAACGCUGGCGGCGUGCUUAACACAUGCAAGUCGAACGGAAAGGCCUCUUUCGGGGGGUACUCGAGUGGCGAACGGGUGAGUAACACGUGAGUAACCUGCCCUUGACUUUGGGAUAACUUCAGGAAACUGGGGCUAAUACCGGAUAGGAGCUCCUGCUGCAUGGUGGGGGUUGGAAAGUUUCGGCGGUUGGGGAUGGACUCGCGGCUUAUCAGCUUGUUGGUGGGGUAGUGGCUUACCAAGGCUUUGACGGGUAGCCGGCCUGAGAGGGUGACCGGCCACAUUGGGACUGGGGUACGGCCCAGACUCCUACGGGAGGCAGCAGUGGGGAAUAUUGCACAAUGGGUGGAAGCCUGAUGCAGCAACGCCGGGUGCGGGAUGACGGCCUUCGGGUUGUAAACCGCUUUCGCUCAUGACGAAGCUUUGUGUGACGGUAGUGGGUAAAGAAGCACCGGCUAACUACGUG